RNAcentral lists this ribosomal RNA (484 nucleotides) under uncultured bacterium. RNAcentral describes it as "partial 16S ribosomal RNA". It matches the Rfam family "Bacterial small subunit ribosomal RNA", at positions 28 to 523 of the family's 1533-position model. The record is from RNAcentral.
GACGAACGCUGGCGGCGUGCUUAACACAUGCAAGUCGAACGAUGAAGCUAGAGCUUGCUCUGGUGGAUUAGUGGCGAACGGGUGAGUAACACGUCAGUAACCUGCCCCGAACUCUGGGAUAACUGCUGGAAACGGUAGCUAAUACCGGAUAUGACCAAUGAAGGCAUCUUCUGUUGGUCGAAAGAAUUUCGGUUCGGGAUGGCCUCGCGGCCUAUCAGCUUGUUGGUGAGGUAACGGCUCACCAAGGCGACGACGGGUAGCCGGCCUGAGAGGGUGAUCGGCCACACUGGGACUGAGACACGGCCCAGACUCCUACGGGAGGCAGCAGUGGGGAAUAUUGCACAAUGGGCGCAAGCCUGAUGCAGCAACGCCGCGUGAGGGACGACGGCCUUCGGGUUGUAAACCUCUUUUAGUAGGGAAGAAGCGAAAGUGACGGUACCUGCAGAAAAAGCACCGGCUAACUACGUGCCAGCCGCCGCCGUAA